AUGGCGUUCAGCCGCGCCCAGAUGCUCGCUGCCUUCACCUUGGGCUUUCUUCUCAUGGCCUUCUGUGUGGAUGGUCGGGUAUGCACGUCCCCUAGCAAGUUGUACAAAAGGAGCCCUUGCAAGAACAUGGGCUGCACCGCGGCCUGUCACAAAGAGCACUUCAAGGGUGGGUACUGUGCCACUAAGAAGACAAUUGUUGGCGAUGAGCUCAACGAGGACAACAACGACAACUUCUUUCACAAACGACCUAAGAAAAAGACAUGCGUAUGUACACUUCAAUGCAGUAAAGCCCCACCACCACCGUCAGAACCUGACGUGCCAGAGCCACCGGGUGAACCUGAGGUGCCAGAUCCUAAGAAGAAGCCGCCGCCGCCAUAUGUAUGUGAUGUGCCGGAGCCGCCCUCGGGAGAAAACAAGAAGAAGCUAGUGGCAGCUGCUGACCAGUGA
RNAcentral lists this ribosomal RNA (447 nucleotides) under Triticum aestivum (bread wheat). Its description in RNAcentral is "partial small subunit ribosomal RNA". Lineage: Eukaryota; Viridiplantae; Streptophyta; Magnoliopsida; Poales; Poaceae. The record is from RNAcentral.